Passer domesticus (house sparrow) is the source of this 660-nucleotide non-coding RNA. Lineage: Eukaryota; Metazoa; Chordata; Aves; Passeriformes; Passeridae. The record is from the annotation of a RefSeq genome assembly.
AUGUUCUGGAUCCGCCAGAGACCCGGGCAAGGGCUGGAGUUCAUUGCCCACAUCAGCUACGACAGCGGCACAACCAUCUACGCGCCGUCGGUGCAGGGUCGGUUCAGGAUCUGCAGGGACAACGGGCAGAGCUCGGUGACGCUGACCAUGAACAACCUCAAGGACGAGGAUUCCAGAUCCUAUUUCUGCGCCAGAAGUUUCCGUGGUGGUUACAGUGGCAUUACGCUUGGGCUCCGGGCGGCCGUGACCCUGCUGGAGUGCGGGGGGGACCUCCAGCCCCCCGGGGGGUCCCUGCGCCUCCUCUGCCGAGGGUCUGGCUUCGAUUUCGGGAGUUUCACCAUGUGCUGGGUGCGCCAGAGACCCGGGCAGGUGCUGGAGUGGCUCGCGGGGAUCUACAGCAAUGGUGGCAGCACAUACUACGCACCCUCGGUCAAGGGUCGGUUCACGAUCUCCAGGGACAACGGGCAGAGCUCGGUGACGCUGACCAUGAACAACCUCAAGGACGAGGAUUCCGGAUCCUAUUUCUGUGCCAGGACCUGUUCUAAUAGUGCUGGUGCUAAUGAUGCCUGUGGCUUUGGCUCCAAGCCCAGUGCCGAGUCCCCCCAGUCCCCAGAGCCCAGACCCUUCCCCCUGUCCCCCAACCCCAGACCCAGCUCUUGA